GGAAAGAAAAUAUGUUCCUGGCAGGAGUCCAGACUUGCAGAGAUCAGGCUUCUCAUGACUGAGGACUGACGGUGCGGAUGGAGUCUCUCUUCACACAGAUCAUUGAUGCGGGGAGGAAAACAAAGUUCUGCCCAACCCAGGUUUCAGACAAUGCCUGUCUCACUGAGCAUCCAUUAGUGCCACCAGGUGCAGCAGCAGAGAAUCAGCAGAAAGCCAGGAGUGGAAGUACUAAAAUAUUGCAAGAAAACAUGAAGUUUCCAACCAAGGGACCCUAUUCUGUGAGGCAUUGAGCAUCUGUCUUCACUGGGCUCUGAAGACACUCAGCCCCUUCUAGGAGCUAGGGGUUCAGCAUCUUACAGGACCAAGUUGGAUGAGAAGGAAUUUGAACUGGGUUCUCCCAGCUCUGAGUCCACAAAGAUGUGGUGAAGGACUCGCUGAGCAGUAUGAAACUCCCAUCUCUGAGUAUCUGGGAUUAACUUCUAAGGAUGUUAACUCCAGGAUCCACUCUACAUGUGGCAGGAAGAGAAGCGAGCAACAGGCCUGACUCUCCCACCAAAGCAAUUACGCCCUGGCUGCUGGGUGUCUGCCAUGAUCCAGGCAAGGUGCUCUGAGACUCACCACACUUAUUUCCAUGUACAACUGCAGCACACAGACAGAAGUGGAAGUAUUUGGAAAGAAAUCAGAAGGGAUGGUAGUAAAAUUGAUGUCAUUUCCUUCACCUCUUUUUCCUCAGUAGGGCUUUCAUCAUUCUACCAUUUUUUAGCUUUGUUGAUUGAUUUUCCCCCCUAAUUUUUCCUUCUAGUUUAGGCAUUUUAAAAUAAAUUUAAUUUUUUCACAAAUUGAUUAUUAAACAUAUGCAGGUCAAAAAAUCAGUCCCGGAAACCCAAUACUGCUGUCCCCAGUAGCAGCCACUUAAGGGAAGUACUUCAAAGACACAUAGGGAGAGGAACAGACCAUCAAUAGACACUAACAUAUUCCUAAAAUCAUUCUUCAGCAUAAGUGUCAUGAAGAAAACGAACAAUCCACUUCCAGUAUUCGUCAAUCAAUGAACAGUUGAGGAUUAAAAUUAAUAUUAUAGAAUAACCAAUUAUCAGCCUGAACAAAAAUUCCCAUGUCCAUUCAUCAUGGGCUUGUUCCUCCAAGGGGUGGGUAAGGUUUAAGACAGGGAGAACAGCUCUGAGCUACCACGAGGCUUCUUGAGCAUGGUGCUUCGUUACUUCACUUUCUGUACCGUGACUAAGCCAAGGACUGAUGUGCAGGCAAGAACACUGUACCCAGCACACUUCAUGAAGCCCUUCGGAGCUGGCUGUGAGAUUUGUUGUUUGCUCAGAACCCUUGGAAGCUAUUCUCCAUCACUGUCUGGCUCUCAUGUAGAGCUGGACUUUGGACCCACGAAGCCUGGCUCCCCCUUAUCCCUUCCGACACCCGGGAUCUAGUUCCAGCGUUUAUUUUCUUUAAAAGUAAGUUUCUAGCUCUUUUUCUUGCCAAGAUUUCCUCAAGACUAUGAGCAACCAGUGCACGUAAAUCAACCAAGUAAACCAAUGCACACUGAUCAGUAGGCUCUGAAAAUCACUGAUGAUUUUUGUCCUAAGGUUAUGCUGGUUGGCACCAUCUUCCUAGCUGCCUCUACAAUCAGUUUCUUUUAAAUUCAGUCAUGCCUAUUGCCAAGUAGGAGGGCAGUCAAAGGAAUUGAAAACCCUAAGGAUCUCUAUCCUAGCAGUUGUCAAACUGUGGGUCAGGACCCCAAAGUGAGUCGUGACCCCAUUUUAAUGGGAUCGCCAGAGCUGGCGUUAGAAUUGCUGGGGUCCAGGGCUGAAGCUCGAGCCCCACCACCUGGGGACAAAGCCCGAGCCUCACCGCCCGGGGCCAAAGCCUGAAAGCUUCAGCCCUGGGUGGUGGGGCUCAGGUUACAGGCCCCCCAUCUGGGGCUGAAGCCCUUGGGUUUUGGCUUUGGCCCCCCUGCC
Molecule: long non-coding RNA, 1964 nt
Organism: Chrysemys picta bellii (western painted turtle)
Lineage: Eukaryota; Metazoa; Chordata; Testudines; Emydidae
Source: RefSeq, a predicted model, not a curated record